AGUAUAUCGGAAAAGUGCCAACGAAGGAUUUUAGCGGACUGUCUGCGAUUUGUUUCAUAGCCCAGGACUUCGAUAAUUUGCUCAGGAGAAUGGAAAAGCCCAUCCAGCCUCAGCUGCAGUCAACCAUGUCCAAGAGCGCAGAAGGUCCGUCAGAGGACCUCUCCAAACUUCCGGAUGAGGAGCUUCUGAAAUGGAGCAAGGAGGAGCUGGUGCGCUGGCUGCGCAGAGCCGAAGCCGAGAAGAUGAGUGUUAUAGUGGACCACAGCAAUCUCAUCCGAGAGGUGAACCGCAGGCUUCAGCAGCACCUGAACGAGAUACGGGGUCUGAAGGAGGUGAAUCAGAAGCUCCAGGAGGACAACCAGGAGCUAAGAGAUCUCUGCUGCUUUCUGGAUGAUGAUCGGCAAAAAGGGAAGAAGGUGUUGAGGGAGUGGCAGCACUUGGGCCAUUACAGUGCAGGGAUCAUGCGUAAGGAAGUGACGUUGUUCCUGCAGAAGCUGAAAGAGCUAGAACAGAAGCAGGAGGAAGUGGUGAGGGAGAACCUAGAACUGAGAGAGCUGUGCUUCAUGCUGGAUGAGGAGAAGGGCUUAUCCACUGGUGGGCCAUCAGGUACCGGGGGACCAGCCGGCUGCAGGAAUUCAAUUGAUAGCCAGAGCAGCCUGUCUCAUGCCAGCGGACCUGGGCCUGGACUACUAAGGGAUGUGGGUGAUGGAAGCAGUACCUCCAGCGCGGGCAGCACCGACAGCCCUGACCAUCUCCCACAUAAACAGCAGCUGUUGGGUGGCCCAGCUGGAGGCAGUCCUGACAGCCUACUUAAGCCAGGCUCAGGGGAGGAGGCACCAGGUCCUGAGCAUGCAGGCCGCAGACACAGCACCAGCCCAGAGUACGCUGCGCAUACCUUUCCCCAGGUGUGCCGGUCUCGCUGCGGGUCCUUCUCCAGUCCAGAGCAUAAGUGUCUGCGGGGGCUCAGUCCAGAGAAACUCUUCAAAAGUCUGUCCAGAGGAAGUCCAGAGCAGUUCUCGAAACACUUGCUGGUGUCCUCUCAGCCGGCUGGCAGCCCUGACCUUUUCCAGAAGCACAGGGGGAGCAUGGGUAGCGUGUGUGGGAGUCCAGAGCCGAAACAGAUUCUAUCAGGGACACCAGAGCACCUACAAAAGGGCCGCAUUAUAUCUGGGAGCCCUGAGAUGUUAAGGCAUCAGUACAGUGCCAGUCAUGAGCAUGUCAAGAUUGGUAGUCCGGGCUGGGAGGUGGCACAGAAGAGGCCAGGUGGAGAGGAGAUGUCACCUCAUCACCGGAGCAUCUAUAACGGUAUGAACGGUGGGUCUGACUGGAGCCUGCUGUAGCACCCACAGUGACAUACAUGGAGAUCCAUUUGAAUACACCACAUGCAGAGGGGAUGGUCAUCCUUCAUCAUGGAGGGCAUUAUUUCCAGAAAAGCCCCAUUCCCAGCCAAUUCAGCCAGCCAUGUUAUGCAUUUAGUUUAGUUUUUCUUUGCUCAGUUCAGGAGAGGCAUUGAGAAGAUAGAGCAGGGGCUUUAUUGUCUGACUAGAGCAGAACAUCUCAUCGCUGGUAAAGGUCCUUGGUGUCCAGUCUUGGUCCUCUUGGGCCAUGAUUUUGCAGGCUUUAGCUGUUUCCUGUCAAUCAUGCCUCUGAACCUGUGCCUCCUAAGCCAUUGUUUUAUGCUCUGGAACCCAGAUAAGGGAACACUGUAAUCAAUCAAAGACCAAAAUGCUCAGAGGCCCAUCGAAAGCCAGAAGACAGUGCUGCCCAGCAGGACCAGGAGUGGACACCAUUGUAUUUGCCAUAUGCACCCAGCUCUGAUAUCGGCUGGCUGUUGCACGAGCUCCUGUAGAAGUGUCAAGCUUUGGGACAGUUUUGAUGCCUCCUGACCAUUGCCUUCACUGGAUCCAGUGUUGGGGCCCAGGCCAUGAAAGAGGAUCCCUUUGCUUUCAAGUCACCUGCACUGACAGAGAGAUGGAAGGAGAGGAUGAAAGAAAAACAAUUCAGUAGCAGCCAGCAUCUACCAUUGCCCCCACCACUGUGUUUCCCGGUCUACUAAUACAACUAACAGCACUGCACAACAAAGGCCUGGAAAAGGGAUUCCUUUGGAGUCAAACAGUUGGAAAUAACAUGAUUGUCAAAAGGAUUGCUCAAAUAGGAGAGUUGUUGAUCUCUCUUUUGCCAACAAAAUAGACCUACCUCCUUUGAACGAAAGCAGACGAAAAAAAAAGUUUAAAAUGGGACUGAGAGGCUAUUACCCAUUUUGUUUACAGUUGCCACAAACAGAUGCAAUCAAUCUGUCAAAACCUUUGCACACAUAGGCAGACAGCUAUUAUCAGACCGGCCUUAUGCAUCUGAGAAUAAGGGCAUAAUUUCUUAAGCUGUGUUAAGGUAGGAGCAAUACUAAUUGUCAGUGGCUCACAGGUUUAAUUAGACAUUCUGAAUUUUAGCUGCAAUGUCUAUGAGGGUGACAUAUCGAUCACUGCCUGGCUUUCAUUAAAGGAAUAGUUUACCCAAAAAUGUAAAUUCUAUCAUCAUUUACUCACCCUCAUGUUGUUCCAACCCUGUAUAACAUUCAAUCUUGUGUGGUGUUAUCUAGCACAGUAUUUCCCAACCAUUGUGUGUGCCGCGGAAAAUUAUAAAAUUCCACAAAAUAAAUAAACGGAUGAAAAAAAAAAUUCAGGGAUCCAAACUCCUCACUUUUCGGAGAAAUUUGCCAUUUUGAAACCAUAAUCGGUCACUUUUGUGAUUGUGAAGAGCAAUGAUUAAUGUGCAAAAGUGACUGAUAUUUAUACGCUUUAAGGGUCUUUCACAUGACUCGCGUCAGCGCUGCAGAACACACUGAAGUCUGUGAAGUGACGCCACUUUACACCAAAGUGUUUUUCACACAUACACGUUUUUGCUUCACCAUUAAUGUCUUUGAGAGUACUAACCAACAAGAAAUAUUUAAAAACUGUCCAAAUUUGUGAAGAGACAUUGAAUGUCUCAUAAUUUCUUUUAAUUACUACUUUAUCGUUUACGAAUAUCAGAGACCCCAGUUAUUGAACUAAUUUAAAUUUACCAAGAAAACGCUUAGACCUAAACAUAAACGAGUCAUUUUAUUACUUUAUGCUAUCAAAGCAAUUGCAAGCUUUUUUUCUCUCUUUCAAAUAUGUUUUCAAUAUGUAUUGUGCACAUCUCCUGCUUUUUAUGUGGCAAACUCAUACAAUCGCCCAUCUGUGACGCUUUCUGCAACUCUUGUCAUGUGGAGGGCAACGAGGUGCUUGAUGCUGGCGUUGAACGGAGCAUUGAUGUCUCGACUCAACUCAUGUGAAAUGCGCUUUACAAUGACGAAAGAACAUUAUUGAAACUCAGAAUUAUUAUUAUUUGUCUAUUAUUGUGGUCUUUUCUGAUAAAAGCCAUGCUCAGCAGUUUAAAUAGGCUACUGUAGGAAAAUGAUACUGUAGAUCUGCUUUGUGUUUAUAAUUCUGAAGUUAGUAGAUUUGUAGCCAUGCAAGUUUUAAUAAAGGAGAAGGUAAGGACGUUAUUGAAACUCACUAUUAUUAGACUAUUACUGUUGUCUUUUUGGAUGAAAAAUAAUGCUCAGACUGAAGCAAGAUUAUAGAUCUGCUUUGUUCUUUUAAUGCUUAAACACUAUAAAUUCUCUUGGUAGAUUUCAGUCAUGAACAGCUCAAAAUGAUUCACUGACUCACUCAUCGCACAUAAGAUGCUCAAUUGUCGCCACCUAGUGACAUUUCCAGAAGGGGUCACUGAACUAAUCAGUUAAUAAAAUUGAACAAAUUUGUGAAACAGAAGCAAGCCUCACCAAAAUACUCUUUAUUUUGCAGCUAAUUCUGCACAAUUGUAAACUUGAAUCACUAAAAUAGCUGGAAUUGGUGCUUUUAGCUUAUUCUUUAAAAAAUAUAUCCCAGAAAAAAUGUUCGUGGACCAGUGAUUGUCUUACCUUUUUCGCCCCUCAUGAGUUUGCAUCCCUGUAAUUUGUUGUGGCAUUGCAAGAACAAGUCUUCAAAUUGGAAAAGAAGCAAAUUUGUUGUUUUUUCAUUACCCAUUUAGCGCUCUUGCCACCUGUGACCUCACACAGUGUAGCCUGAAAACAUGGACAAGUUCUUGAAAAGGAAAAAUAUUGACGAUGGUUAGCCUAUGUGGGAUAGUGGUGUGCCGUGACAGAAAAAAAGUUUGGGAAACACUGAUCUAGCAGAAUGUCUAAGCUGCUCUUUUCCACACAACGAAAGUGAGUAGUAACCACAGCUGUCCCUGGUCCCCAUUCCCUUUCAGUAUGCUAAAUAUCUCCUUUUGUAGUUAUCUCCUUUUGUGUUCCACAUAAGAAAGCCAUACAGGUUUGGAACAACAUGAUGGUGAGUAAAUGUUGACAGAACUUUUAUCUUGGGUGAACUAUCCCUUUAAGAGCUGUGUGAGGACCUAUAAUUUUCUGUGUUGACAACAAUACGGCAAUGUAAGAUGUCUACUGAUGAAACAGUUACUGAAAAAUUUGCAUUGAAACAGGAGGUGCUCCAAAACACUGUCUCCUGUCUCUCAAUAUCCCAUAACUGAUGUUUUUGUAGACACGGUGUUGUGUUAUGUGAAAGAAGCACACAGAAAGCUACUGCUGCGCGCAAGACUUGUGUAGCCAGACGCUUUUCUUGCAUCUUGUAUUUUUGCCCUCAUUGCUGCUGAAAUCAAGCAGCCAAAUCACAAAGCUAUAUAUAAGCAUCGCAAAUCCUGACCAUUUCCAUGCUUUGUGAAAUUGCAAAACCCAUUUUAUGGUUCACCAGUAAAAUGGGAUUUUGUUCUGUCUGUCUGUGGAUUCAAAAGGAAGAGCAGCCUUAUUGCUCUGUUAGGGACCAGAUCUGCCUGGUUUCAGUUGAAACAGCUAGCUUUAGGCUUUUAGGCCCUCAAUGCACAUUCUUUGUUUUUGGACCAUAAUUGAGGUGCAAAAUAACUUGUCUGCAUACAAACUUCCUUCUGUCCCGCUGGACUACAUAGACCAUCAUGCCUCUAUUUUUAGCAGGUAUUUGAUUAAACAUCUUCUGGCUGACAGUACAAACCAUACCCACAUUUGUUUCCCGUAUUGUUGCAUCUAAAUGAAUGGGAUCUGAUACUAACAUUUGAGCCUUCACUGAACAUUAAAGACUUUUCUAACUCAGCCAACAUUACACACCUUGUAAACCAUCAAUCCUUCUGUAUACUGUCAGUAUUAAAUACAGCAAAAGCUGCUUGAUAAGCUCAUUAACCUGUGAUCUUUUUUAUUUUUGUUGACAGAUUAUGAGAGAGAACAAAUACUAAUAUAUAAAACGUUUAUGUUUUUAAAAAGUAAAGAGUAGUUUAAGGCUAAGUUUUUUAUAUAUGAUAAUUAUCAUUAUUAUUUUUGACGUACUGGUAUUAUUGAAUCUAUAAAUAUUAU
Myxocyprinus asiaticus (Chinese sucker) is the source of this 5398-nucleotide RNA transcript. It is a transcript of the gene named coiled-coil domain-containing protein 85A-like, with no coding region annotated. Lineage: Eukaryota; Metazoa; Chordata; Actinopteri; Cypriniformes; Catostomidae. The transcript is spliced from 4 exons. The record is from RefSeq and is a predicted model, not a curated record.